Molecule: small nucleolar RNA, 204 nt
Organism: Phyllostomus discolor (pale spear-nosed bat)
Lineage: Eukaryota; Metazoa; Chordata; Mammalia; Chiroptera; Phyllostomidae
Product: small nucleolar RNA SNORA73 family
Exons: 1
Source: RefSeq, a predicted model, not a curated record
CAAGCAUGGAUACCCCGGGAGGUCACUCUCCCUGGGCUCUGUCCAGGUGGUGUAGGGGAGCACAGGGCUCAGCCCUGUGAGGCACAGUCCCUUUCCACAACGCUGGAGAGGAAGCCAGGCCCUGAGUCUGCGCCUGCACAUUCCCACAGCUUCUCGGAGUCCUAUGGUCAGUGACUGAGGCAACAAACCACACAGGAAACAUCU